AGUGGAAAAAUGACUGAAACUUUCGGACUUUUAUAUCUUUCUGAGAACCGGGCACGGACCGCACAAAAAUUUGCUGCGGCCGCGCCGAGCGGGAUGAAAAUCUAGGGCUUCUCUAAACCCUCCCAGCAUGGACCGCAAUGUUUUGGUGCGCGGCCGCGCUGGUUAACCUGAAUCUCUAGCCUGACUCAGCCACGCGGACCGUACAGAAGUGCCUCGCGGCCGCCUGUCUCCAGCACGGACUGUGCGGAAAUGACCGCGGCCGCAUUGGUGUCUGCAAUAGCUGAACCUGCUUUUCUCUAGGCUUAAUACCUCCUGGGCCUCACCCAAAACUCACCCGAGCCCUCGGGGCUCCAAACC
Molecule: long non-coding RNA, 357 nt
Filed under: Nicotiana benthamiana
Lineage: Eukaryota; Viridiplantae; Streptophyta; Magnoliopsida; Solanales; Solanaceae
Description: long non-coding RNA (NBEN_LNC016772)
Source: RNAcentral